This 1047-nucleotide long non-coding RNA is filed under the name Salvator merianae (Argentine black and white tegu). Its description in RNAcentral is "lncRNA (ENSSMRG00000005935.1)". Lineage: Eukaryota; Metazoa; Chordata; Lepidosauria; Squamata; Teiidae. The record is from RNAcentral.
CUCCGCCUGACCAGCAGCUGUUUCAUCUUUCCGGCACGUGUCCCGUCUUGCCCACACACCACCAGUGAUGAGGCUCCGGUUACAUAAGCCUUAUAUAGUGGACUUUUUUGCCUUUUCCAUUUCGUGCCAGUACUUCGGGGCGGGGGGGGACCGCAGGAAGAAAAGCCCCAAGCGGGCAGCUGGGGACGAAGGCCGCCCCUGGCAUCGCCAUGGGGAUCGGAGAGGCGAAAGACGGGCCGGGAAGCGCUCUGCUCUCACCUCCAAGCUUUCUCCAACCUGGUGGUCUCCUCCGCAAUGGCCCCCAACUUUUUAUCUCCAGAAGACGGGAAGCCCCAGUACUGGAGGACGGGAGNGCAGAAUUUGACUCGUGGCUGCCCUCGUGCGUUCCGCGUGAAGAUUGCAAUGCUUUUUGAGGACGCGGCGUAAGGGCAUCCUUCCUUUCCAGGCGUCUGCGAAGACAGCAGAGGUCGGAUCUGAGAUGAGGUCUUGCGCCUUUCGUCCAGUCUAGUUAGUAAUGCACUCGGCGUAGUUGGCAAUGCGAGAAACCUUUGCUGAAUUCCCUUCCUCUACGCCCUGGCAUGCUUUGUAGUAACGCUUGGUGACUAGGUGUAGUUUUCUUGGCAACAAUACACAAGUAGUUGGCCAUUGCCUUCUCCCGGGGAGACAGAACCUGUAACCAAUUACUUUCCAGACUGUUUGCUUUGUCCCCGAGCUACAGCUGUGCCCUCCUCNUUCAGAUGUGCAAGGGGCAGUGACGUGCAACAGGGCCUUUCCUGCAGUGGCCCCCAAGCUUUGGAACAACUUCCCUCUGGUGCUCACAUCAGGCACCAAUUUUGUAUGUCUUUCUGCGUCUGGCUAAAAUAUAGCUGUUCACUCGGGGUUCUGAUGCUUAGCUUUCUCUGAGUGUUGUCCUGCCAGCGAGGGAGGGAGGGUCAUAUUCUAAUGUAUUUUUUAUAGCGUUUUAUGGGUUUUAUCUUCUUUAUCGUUGUGACCCACCAUGAGACCUUUGGGUGAAGGGGAGAUAUAAAUAAAUAAAUAAAUAGGACC